CGAGAGGAACCGCGGUUUCAGAUAAUUGGUUUUUGCGGCUGUCUGACCAGGCAUUGCCGCGAAGCUACCAUCUGCUGGAUAAUGGCUGAACGCCUCUAAGUCAGAAUCCAUGCCAGAACGGGGUGAUUUCCGCCUGCACCAGUCGGAUACGAAUA
Molecule: ribosomal RNA, 155 nt
Filed under: Skeletonema marinoi
Lineage: Eukaryota; Bacillariophyta; Thalassiosirophyceae; Thalassiosirales; Thalassiosiraceae
Description: partial Eukaryotic large subunit ribosomal RNA
Rfam family: Eukaryotic large subunit ribosomal RNA
Source: RNAcentral